This 71-nucleotide transfer RNA is filed under the name archaeon. RNAcentral describes it as "tRNA-Gly". It matches the Rfam family "tRNA". Rfam says of the family: Transfer RNA (tRNA) molecules are approximately 80 nucleotides in length. The record is from RNAcentral.
GCGGCUGUGGUGUAGUGGAAGCACGAGAGCCUUCCAAGCUCUUAGCCUGGGUUCAAAUCCCAGCAGCCGCG